CGGAGGGUGCAAGCGUUGUCCGGAUUUAUUGGGUUUAAAGGGUGCGUAGGUGGCCCUAUAAGUCCGGGUGAAGACCACAGCUCAACUGUGGAACUGCCCUGGAUACUGUCGGGCUUGAGAGUCGUCGAGGGUGGCGGAAUGGACGGUGUAGCGGUGAAAUGCAUAGAUACCGUCCAGAACCCCAAUUGCGUAGGCAGCUGCCUAGGCGACAUCUGACACUGAGGCACGAAAGCGUGGGGGAGCGAACAGGAUU
RNAcentral lists this ribosomal RNA (253 nucleotides) under uncultured bacterium. RNAcentral's name for it is "partial 16S ribosomal RNA". It matches the Rfam family "Bacterial small subunit ribosomal RNA", at positions 526 to 779 of the family's 1533-position model. The record is from RNAcentral.